UACGGAGGGUGCAAGCGUUAUCCGGAUUCACUGGGUUUAAAGGGUGCGUAGGUGGGAAUGUAAGUCAGUGGUGAAAUCUCCGUGCUUAACAUGGAAACUGCCAUUGAUACUAUGUUUCUUGAAUUUUCUGGAGGUAAGCGGAAUAUGUCAUGUAGCGGUGAAAUGCUUAGAUAUGACAUAGAACACCGAUAGCGAAGGCAGCUUGCUACACAAUUAUUGACACUGAGGCUCGAAAGCGUGGGGAUCAAACAGG
RNAcentral lists this ribosomal RNA (253 nucleotides) under uncultured bacterium. RNAcentral's name for it is "partial 16S ribosomal RNA". It matches the Rfam family "Bacterial small subunit ribosomal RNA", at positions 524 to 776 of the family's 1533-position model. The record is from RNAcentral.